This 253-nucleotide ribosomal RNA is filed under the name uncultured bacterium. Its description in RNAcentral is "partial 16S ribosomal RNA". It matches the Rfam family "Bacterial small subunit ribosomal RNA", at positions 524 to 776 of the family's 1533-position model. The record is from RNAcentral.
UACAGAAGCCUCAAGCGUUACCCGGAUUUACUGGGCGUAAAGGGUGUGUAGGCGGUGUGAUUAGUCUUGCGUUAAAUCUUCGAGCUCAACUUGGAGUUCGCGUGAGAAACGGUCACACUGGAGGAAGUGAGAGGUCUAGGGAACUCAUGGUGUAGGGGUGAAAUCCGUUGAUAUCAUGGGGAACACCAAAUGCGGAGGCACUAGACUGGCACUUUUCUGACGCUGAGACACGAAAGCGUGGGUAGCGAAUCGG